Lates calcarifer (barramundi perch) is the source of this 1221-nucleotide long non-coding RNA. RefSeq lists it as uncharacterized. Lineage: Eukaryota; Metazoa; Chordata; Actinopteri; Centropomidae. The record is from RefSeq and is a predicted model, not a curated record. The transcript has 3 exons.
GGUCCUCCUCCUCCUCCUUUAUAGAUUCAUCAAUGGAUUCAUUUAUCAAUUGAUUAUUAUUUUUAAAGCUUCUGUUCAUUGUUUAACUCUAAUAGACAUAAAGAAGCAGACACACACACACUUACACAUUAAACAAGACUUGAAGCAGGAUAUUAAAGAGGAAAUGGGCCAAAGUUCUUCCGCUGUGUGUUUGUACCCUGCAGUGAAUCAGUCAACAGAAGCUAACAGCUCUGUGGUCGUCCAGUUUCCUGUUUCUGCUCAACCUGCACAUGUUUCACUGCAGAGAUAUUAUUAGACUAAAGACAGAAAACAUCGAGUUUAGAACUUUACACAUUCAUGUCUGUUAUGUGACACAUUUAAACCAGGACUGAUUGUGUUUGUGUUACACACUGACAUGUUUGUCCUGUGGUGAACACAUCGACUUGUUUUGAUCUGCGGUCAUUCAAUUUUCCGAUUCAGAUAAAACCUCUUCACAUGUGUCAGGUCUCUUUUUAUCUUCCACAGCAGCAGAAAAAAACUGUAACAUGGAAAUUCUGCUUUAAAACAUGUAGCUGUGAACUUUGUUGUGUUGUUAGUGGACAUACAGUCGUACAAACUGUUGGAUUCUCUGUUGUGGUUCAUGGCAGCAGUUUGGUCACAUGAUCCACCACAGCUGGUGGUGAUCAUACGUACGCCAUCGAGGGUUCAAGCCAAUAAACAGACAAACUGUCUUUAAAAACAGAAGUGACAAAGUGCUCUCCAGGAAAAAAUGUUUUAAAGGCUGAGAGCCCUCAACAGCUUCCCACCAGCAGGAGCAAUCAGCUGGAAAACACUAAACCAACACACACACCUGAAAUCAGACAUGUGACCUCUGGUCGAACAGGAGAAACAUUUACCUCUGUGUGUUUUUACCCAGAGUUCAGUCUGUCAGGCAGAGCUUCCUACCACCUGUUAAACACCAGAGAUCCUCAGACUGACCGUUAUUAAAGAUGAUAAUUGUGCAGUUUAUUUUAAAUGUUAUUGUAAAAACCACAGCAGCAGCUUCUUCCUGUUGAUUCCAGUCUAAGCUGUGACUGAAGCUGGUGUGGUCUGUGAACACAGCGUGAUCUGAUGAUAAGAGAGUGAUCCAGCUGCAGUCUACUCAGCAGUGACAAGAGAAGACGUCAGUUAUGGACAAAUCAACAUCAAAGACAAAAAACCAAAGAUGAAAGCGUGUCCACCAGAACCAGAGGUGGUCUACUC